CGAAAAUCCUAACAAAAUUUGGCUAGAAGGACUUUGGAUGGUAUUAAAUUGAAGUUGAGGGAUGGUGCCUAAAGAACCUAGAAGUUAAAGGACGACGAGUGAAAUUAAGCUUGAUUUUGAGGGUGCUGAUUAGGGAUGAUUUUGGAGGCAAAGUUGGAGGGCUGAUUGAGACUUUGGCUUUUAGGUUGAGAUUUCAAAUUUUUUUUUUUUAAUUUCAAGUUUGUUUAGUUCGGCCAUGAGUGAGUUUGAUUUCUUUCCAUUUUAGGUUGAUUUUGUUUAAUUUCUUUAGAAACUCAUGUUUAUAAUAUCUUUUAAAGCCUAACAUUGAAAGAUUUGUUAGAUAUUUGGGAGAGGCGAAGGGAAGAGAGGAAAGUGGGGAGAGAGAAGAACAUCGCAUAGAGAGAGAGAGAGAGAG
This 415-nucleotide unclassified non-coding RNA is filed under the name Hevea brasiliensis (rubber tree). The record is from RNAcentral. Lineage: Eukaryota; Viridiplantae; Streptophyta; Magnoliopsida; Malpighiales; Euphorbiaceae.